GCGGCAGGUCACCUUAUCGCUUUGUUUUAUAAAUGAAGAGGAAAGUCCGGACACCGCAGCGCAGCAUAGCGGCUAACAGCCGUCGGUCGAGAGAUUAGGACAAGUGCAAAAGAAAGGAUGUACAGGUAAUGCUGUAGUGAAAUCAGGUAAACUCUAUGCGGUGCAACGUCAUGUAAACCAAUGUUUGAGGGUUGCGCGCCCGAUGUUGGAGGGUAGGCGGCUAGAAUGUUGCAGUAAUGUAACAUCCAGAUAAAUGAUAAGGAUCUAUUUAUAGAUACAGAAUCCGGCUUAUGACCUGCUUUUUUA
Molecule: RNase P RNA, 306 nt
Filed under: Galbibacter orientalis DSM 19592
Lineage: Bacteria; Pseudomonadati; Bacteroidota; Flavobacteriia; Flavobacteriales; Flavobacteriaceae
Description: Joostella marina DSM 19592 Bacterial RNase P class A
Rfam family: Bacterial RNase P class A
About the family: Ribonuclease P (RNase P) is a ubiquitous endoribonuclease, found in archaea, bacteria and eukarya as well as chloroplasts and mitochondria.
Source: Rfam by way of RNAcentral